Molecule: ribosomal RNA, 95 nt
Filed under: uncultured bacterium
Lineage: Bacteria
Description: partial 16S ribosomal RNA
Rfam family: Bacterial small subunit ribosomal RNA
Source: RNAcentral
CACCGCCCGUCACAUCAUGAAAGCCGUUUGUACCCGAAGUCGCUGUUUCAACCGCAAGGAGAUAGGCGCCGAAGGUAUGGAUGGUGAUUGGGAUG